Molecule: small nuclear RNA, 106 nt
Organism: Heterocephalus glaber (naked mole-rat)
Lineage: Eukaryota; Metazoa; Chordata; Mammalia; Rodentia; Bathyergidae
Source: Ensembl
AUGCCACCUUCAUAGCACUUACACUAAAAUUGCAAUGGUGUACAGAAGAUUAACAUAGCCCCUGAGCAAGAAUAAAAUACACAUUUAUGAAAGAUUACAUAUUUUA